GCCUGGGUAGCUCAGUGGUUGAGUAUCUGCCUUCGGCUCAGGGUGUGAUCCUGGAGUUCUGGGAUCGAGUCCCAGAUCGGGCU
Molecule: non-coding RNA, 83 nt
Organism: Canis lupus familiaris (dog)
Lineage: Eukaryota; Metazoa; Chordata; Mammalia; Carnivora; Canidae
Source: Rfam